AGCUCCAAUAGCGUAUAUUAAAGUUGUUGCGGUUAAAAAGCUCGUAGUUGGAUCUGCGGACGUGGAGAACGGUCGCCUACUCGGUGUACUGUUUUCCUGUCCUAUAUUCUCUAGUUUGCUCUAGGUGCGCUUCACUGUGUGUCUAGAGUAGCUAGAACGUUUACUUUGAAAAAAUUAGAGUGCUCAAAGCAGGCUUCUACGCCUGAAUAGUGGUGCAUGGAAUAAUGGAAUAGGACCUCGGUUCUAUUUUGUUGGUUUUCGGAGCAUGAGGUAAUGAUUAAGAGGGACAGACGGGGGCAUUCAUAUUGCGACGUUAGAGGUGAAAUUCUUGGAUCGUCGCAAGAUGAACUACUGCGAAAGCAUUUGCCAAGCAUGUUUUCA
RNAcentral lists this ribosomal RNA (381 nucleotides) under uncultured eukaryote. RNAcentral's name for it is "SSU rRNA". It matches the Rfam family "Eukaryotic small subunit ribosomal RNA", at positions 587 to 972 of the family's 1831-position model. The record is from RNAcentral.